Regulatory RNA element from Paenibacillus sp. IHBB 10380, 153 nucleotides. The record is from Rfam. NCBI's taxonomy places the organism in Bacteria, Bacillati, Bacillota, Bacilli, Caryophanales, Paenibacillaceae.
ACCACAAUACAAAAGUUUCAGGUAAUGGAAGUUUGGUGCAAAUCCAACGCGGUCCCGCCACUGUGAUAGACUGGAUGUUCAGUCUUAAGUCAGGUCAUUUUCCUGGAAACUUUGAAAAACCAACCAUUUCGAGGCGAAAGUGGCUGGUUUACA